GACGAACGCUGGCGGCGUGCUUAACACAUGCAAGUCGAACGGAAAGGCCCUGCUUUUGUGGGGUGCUCGAGUGGCGAACGGGUGAGUAACACGUGAGUAACCUGCCCUUGACUUUGGGAUAACUUCAGGAAACUGGGGCUAAUACCGGAUAGGAGCUCCUGCUGCAUGGUGGGGGUUGGAAAGAUUCGGCGGUUGGGGAUGGACUCGCGGCUUAUCAGCUUGUUGGUGGGGUAGUGGCUUACCAAGGCUUUGAAGGGUAGCCGGCCUGAGAGGGUGACCGGCCACAUUGGGACUGAGAUAGGGCCCAGACUCCUACGGGAGGCAACAGUGGGGAACAUUGCACAAUGGGCGGAAGCCUGAUGCAGCAACGCCGCGUGCGGGAUGACGGCCUUCGGGUUGUAAACCGCUUUCGCCUGUGACGAAGCGUGAGUGACGGUAAUGGGUAAAGAAGCACCGGCUAACUACGUG
This 468-nucleotide ribosomal RNA is filed under the name uncultured bacterium. RNAcentral's name for it is "partial 16S ribosomal RNA". It matches the Rfam family "Bacterial small subunit ribosomal RNA", at positions 28 to 507 of the family's 1533-position model. The record is from RNAcentral.